UUUCCGUAGGUGAACCUGCGGAAGGAUCAUUGUCGAAACCUGCCCAGCAGAGCAACCUGCGAACGUGUACGUAAUAUUCGGAAAGCAAGCGGUGGCCUUGCAGCCCCAAUUGUGGCCCGCUGUUGGGGGGUGCACUCCGACCCCCUAAGGGGAGACGCGUGAACACCCCAACAAAAUAACGAAACCCGGCGCGAACCGCGCCAAGGAACUUUAAGAAAAAAAGAGAGCCUUCCCCCGAUGCCCUGUUCGCGGGUGCUAGGGGGGCAGUGUCAUCUCUCACGAAUCUAAACGACUCUCGGCAACGGAUAUCUCGGCUCUCGAAAUGCGAUACUUGGUGUGAAUUGCAGAAUCCCGUGAACCAUCGAGUUUUUGAACGCAAGUUGCGCCCGAAGCCAUUAGGUUGAGGGCACGUCUGCCUGGGCGUCUCACAUUGCGUCGUUCCCGAUCCCAACCACAACGGGUGUUGGUGUUCGGAAGCGGAUUUUGGCCCCCCGUACACUCGCGUAUGCGGUCGGCCUAAAAACGAGUCCCUGGCGAUGCGUGUCACGACAAGUGGUGGUUGAUAAGCCGUUGCGUCCUGUCGUGCGCUGCUUCGUCGCCGGCGGUUUCUCUAACGACCCUGAAGUGCCGUUGCAACGGUGCCUCGAUCGCGACCCCAGGUCAGGCGGGACUACCCGCUGAGUUUAA
RNAcentral lists this small RNA (687 nucleotides) under Symplocos paniculata. Its description in RNAcentral is "eukaryotic LSU rRNA". The stretch from base 291 to 426 matches the Rfam family "5.8S ribosomal RNA". The record is from RNAcentral. Lineage: Eukaryota; Viridiplantae; Streptophyta; Magnoliopsida; Ericales; Symplocaceae.